RNAcentral lists this long non-coding RNA (257 nucleotides) under Phoenix dactylifera (date palm). RNAcentral's name for it is "long non-coding RNA (PDAC_LNC003422)". The record is from RNAcentral. Lineage: Eukaryota; Viridiplantae; Streptophyta; Magnoliopsida; Arecales; Arecaceae.
CUUCCCAUAUUAUAUGAAGAAACUACGGGAUCAAACAACUUAACUUCAUCUGCUGCAACAAAAAUUCCACUAGAACUUCUUCGUUUAAUACACCAUCGUCAAAAUUAAUCCUAAAAAGAACAGAAGGCGAUGAAAAGAUCUUCUGAGAAUUCGACAGUGCGGCGUCACUCUUUGAUAUACGAUUGCUCCGACCAAUGUUCGAUUAUUUUAUAGGUCGAGGUACUACGAGUUCGGUGAAAAGAUAGAUCUCUCAUCGA